Molecule: ribosomal RNA, 208 nt
Filed under: uncultured bacterium
Lineage: Bacteria
Description: partial 16S ribosomal RNA
Rfam family: Bacterial small subunit ribosomal RNA
Source: RNAcentral
AGCGUAGGCGGCGCAACAAGUUAGGAGUGAAAUCCCGAGGCUUAACCUCGGAACUGCUUUUAAAACUGUUGUGCUUGAGUGAUGGAGAGGAAAGCGGAAUUCCUAGUGUAGCGGUGGAAUGCGUAGAUAUUAGGAGGAACACCAGAGGCGAAGGCGGCUUUCUGGACAUUAACUGACGCUGAGGCUCGAAAGCGUGGGGAAGCAAACA